Molecule: transfer RNA, 82 nt
Filed under: Gemmatimonadota bacterium
Lineage: Bacteria; Pseudomonadati; Gemmatimonadota
Also listed under: 2 other names
Description: tRNA-Leu
Rfam family: tRNA
About the family: Transfer RNA (tRNA) molecules are approximately 80 nucleotides in length. Their secondary structure includes four short double-helical elements and three loops (D, anti-codon, and T loops). Further hydrogen bonds mediate the characteristic L-shaped molecular structure. tRNAs have two regions of fundamental functional importance: the anti-codon, which is responsible for specific mRNA codon recognition, and the 3' end, to which the tRNAs corresponding amino acid is attached (by aminoacyl-tRNA synthetases). tRNAs cope with the degeneracy of the genetic code in two manners: having more than one tRNA (with a specific anti-codon) for a particular amino acid; and 'wobble' base-pairing, i.e. permitting non-standard base-pairing at the 3rd anti-codon position.
Source: RNAcentral
GCGAGGGUGGCGGAAUUGGUAGACGCGCUGGAUUUAGGAUCCAGUGGGGCAACCCAUGGGGGUUCGACUCCCCCCUCUCGCA